AGAGUUUGAUCCUGGCUCAGAACGAACGCUAGCGGCAGGCUUAACACAUGCAAGUCGAGCGCCCCGCAAGGGGAGCGGCAGACGGGUGAGUAACGCGUGGGAAUCUACCUCUUGCUACGGAAUAGCUCAGGGAAACUUGUGCUAAUACCGUAUGUGCCCUUCGGGGGAAAGAUUUAUCGGCAAAGGAUGAGCCCGCGUUGGAUUAGCUAGUUGGUGGGGUAAAGGCCCACCAAGGCGACGAUCCAUAGCUGGUCUGAGAGGAUGAUCAGCCACACUGGGACUGAGACACGGCCCAGACUCCUACGGGAGGCAGCAGUGGGGAAUAUUGGACAAUGGGCGCAAGCCUGAUCCAGCCAUGCCGCGUGAGUGAUGAAGGCCCUAGGGUUGUAAAGCUCUUUCACCGGUGAAGAUAAUGACGGUAACCGGAGAAGAAGCCCCGGCUAACUUCGUGCCAGCAGCCGCGGUAAA
RNAcentral lists this ribosomal RNA (468 nucleotides) under uncultured Ochrobactrum sp. RNAcentral's name for it is "bacterial SSU rRNA". It matches the Rfam family "Bacterial small subunit ribosomal RNA", at positions 8 to 524 of the family's 1533-position model. The record is from RNAcentral. Lineage: Bacteria; Pseudomonadati; Pseudomonadota; Alphaproteobacteria; Hyphomicrobiales; Brucellaceae.